CUGGCUCAGGACGAACGCUGGCGGCGUGCCUAAUACAUGCAAGUCGAACGGUCUUUCUAUGGAAGCUUGCUUCCACUGAAAAGAUAGUGGCGAACGGGUGAGUAACACGUGGGUAACCUGCCCAUAAGAGGGGGAUAACAUCCGGAAACGGGUGCUAAUACCGCAUAGUUUUCUUGAUCGCAUGAUCGGGAAAGGAAAGACGGCCUUUGUGCUGUCGCUUAUGGAUGGACCCGCGGCGUAUUAGUUAGUUGGUGAGGUAACGGCUCACCAAGACGAUGAUACGUAGCCGACCUGAGAGGGUGAUCGGCCACAUUGGGACUGAGACACGGCCCAAACUCCUACGGGAGGCAGCAGUAGGGAAUCUUCCGCAAUGGACGAAAGUCUGACGGAGCAACGCCGCGUGAGUGAAAGAAGGUUUUCGGAUCGUAAAACUCUGUUGUCAGAGAAGAACAAGUUGGAGAGUAACUGCUCCAGCCUUGACGGUAUCUGACCAGAAAGCCACGGCUAACUACGUGCCAGCCGCCGC
This 526-nucleotide ribosomal RNA is filed under the name uncultured bacterium. Its description in RNAcentral is "bacterial SSU rRNA". It matches the Rfam family "Bacterial small subunit ribosomal RNA", at positions 19 to 518 of the family's 1533-position model. The record is from RNAcentral.